This 253-nucleotide ribosomal RNA is filed under the name uncultured bacterium. RNAcentral's name for it is "partial 16S ribosomal RNA". It matches the Rfam family "Bacterial small subunit ribosomal RNA", at positions 524 to 776 of the family's 1533-position model. The record is from RNAcentral.
UACGUAGGGGGCGAGCGUUGUCCGGAUUUAUUGGGCGUAAAGCGCUCGCAGGCGGUCCGAUGCGUCGUGCGUGAAAGCCCCCGGCUCAACUGGGGAGGGUCGUGCGAUACGGUCGGACUUGAGGCCAGUAGGGGGAUGCGGAAUUCCGGGUGUAGCGGUGAAAUGCGCAGAUAUCAGGAGGAACACCAAUUGCGAAGGCAGCUCGCUGGGACGUUACUGACGCUGAGACGCGAAAGCGUGGGGAGCAAACAGG